GGUUGCAAUCGUCUUGUCGUUCACUCUGACAAUAUGAAGGUGAUUGAAAUAAUGAAGAAUGAAGGACAUUCGGCGGGAGCGGCGGCAACAGUGUUCGAUGAUUGCUAUUUUAUAGCUUGUGAUUUUCCUCUUGUUAGGUUCGAACAUUAUAAUGGGGAAGCGAAUAAGGGGGCUCAUGAACUUGCUAGGCUAGCAAAAUUUCCCGUCACUAAGGACUGGUUUGAGGAGCCUAUAAGUGACAUUGUACAUUUACUUAUUGAUGAUGUAAUAAUUAUUUCUAAUCAAUAA
Molecule: ribosomal RNA, 288 nt
Filed under: Triticum aestivum (bread wheat)
Lineage: Eukaryota; Viridiplantae; Streptophyta; Magnoliopsida; Poales; Poaceae
Description: partial small subunit ribosomal RNA
Source: RNAcentral